UGGCCCCAACUCUGGUAAGCAACAAAACCCUUUUAUUUCUAAUUAUAUGAAUUGUAUCAUUUUUUAUAAUAUUUUUUUUAUUGAUUUGGAGUCUGAGUUUUUCCUUUUAUGUAUUUUACAAUUUUGAUUAGAAGUGUGAAGGGUAUAUUUUCAUAUUGAAUGUAGUUAUGGAAUAUGGUCAUGAUUAAUAAUGGUUCUUUUUUAAAGAAAUAAAAACUUUCAACGGAAAAAACAAUUGAACAUUUAAAUUACAAACUUUAGUUCAUCUAUUCUGAAAUUGCAGUACCAUGACUAAUUUUCUAUUCAUGGUGUUAGAACAGCGACUACUAUAUCAUUAAGUUUUACAUUAGACGAGUUUUACAAAUUUCGAGAGCAAAAUUUAAUUUAGGAUGUGAGUCUAAAGAUGAAGGAGCUUGAUGAUGGGUGGGGUGACCACACCAACUUGUUGAGGUAUAUUCAUUAUUAGAGCAAUUGGAUUUAUUAUACUUCAAAGUUACAAACCGACUUCACCACUUGUCCAUAGCUAUGAGUACAUAAUUUUUGUGCUUAACAAACCGAAUUCUUAUUUAUUUGAAGAAUAUUGUGUAUAAACUCCAUUCUUUCUGAUUAUUAUCAAAUUUUAAUUUAUGUAUUUCAUUACUUAAUUUAAAAAAUCUUGUGUAUAAUUUCAACUCUUGUUGGUUGAUGUACAAUAAAGUACUUUACCUGAAUUGAGAUCUUUAAUUGUGUGUCUUUAUAUAUAACAAAAUAAUUAAUCAGUUUUUGG
RNAcentral lists this long non-coding RNA (766 nucleotides) under Lathyrus oleraceus (garden pea). RNAcentral describes it as "Pisum sativum (pea) long non-coding RNA (PSAT_LNC021352)". The record is from RNAcentral. Lineage: Eukaryota; Viridiplantae; Streptophyta; Magnoliopsida; Fabales; Fabaceae.